CUAUUGACACAUCAACAAGAAGAAAAGACAGAUUUAUUGAUUUAUUUUUUUUUUUUUCUAUUUGGAAAGUCCUGGUAUUGUCCAUAUAAGCAAAAUGGUGAGCUCUGGUCCUAAUACAGAAUCUGGAGUUCAGCUUUCAGGAAAUCCUCUCCCACCACCUUUUCAUAGAGAAGAAGACUUGUCAACAGCAGGACUUGAUGCAAAUAGAAAAAGACAAAACGUCUUUAUUUGUUGAAAUUCUCCAGCCAUGUUCAUGGGAAAAGCACAGGAGCUAAGUAUAGAUCAGGCACAGCUUAAAACAAAAAUUCAAUUUCUUUAUGGUAAGCUGCUCAAAAUCUCUAUAAAAGAAUGUUGUC
Long non-coding RNA from Zonotrichia albicollis (white-throated sparrow), 356 nucleotides. The record is from Ensembl. NCBI's taxonomy places the organism in Eukaryota, Metazoa, Chordata, Aves, Passeriformes, Passerellidae.